CCUACGGGAGGCAGCAGUGAGGAAUAUUGGUCAAUGGACGAGAGUCUGAACCAGCCAAGUAGCGUGAAGGAUGACUGCCCUAUGGGUUGUAAACUUCUUUUAUAAAGGAAUAAAACGAGGCACGUGUGCCUUUUUGCAUGUACUUUAUGAAUAAGGAUCGGCUAACUCCGUGCCAGCAGCCGCGGUAAUACGGAGGAUCCGAGCGUUACCCGGAUUGAUUGGGUUUAAAGGGAGCGUAGAGUGGUUGUUAAGUCAGUUGUGAAAGUUUGCGGCUCAACCGUAAAAUUGCAAUUGAUACUGGCAGUCUUGAGUACAGUUGAGGUAAGCGGAAUUCGGGGUGUAGCGGUGAAAUGCUUAGAUAUCACGAAGAACCCCGAUUGCGAAGGCAGCUUACUAAACUGUGACUGACAUUGAUGCUCGAAAGUGUGGGUAUCAAACAGGAUUAGAUACCCUUGUAGUC
RNAcentral lists this ribosomal RNA (460 nucleotides) under uncultured bacterium. Its description in RNAcentral is "partial 16S ribosomal RNA". It matches the Rfam family "Bacterial small subunit ribosomal RNA", at positions 338 to 795 of the family's 1533-position model. The record is from RNAcentral.